RNAcentral lists this ribosomal RNA (381 nucleotides) under Triticum aestivum (bread wheat). Its description in RNAcentral is "partial small subunit ribosomal RNA". The record is from RNAcentral. Lineage: Eukaryota; Viridiplantae; Streptophyta; Magnoliopsida; Poales; Poaceae.
AUGCAACGAUGGGAACGGCCUUAUCAAAUGACAUUUUUUGGCGAAGAAUUCCAGCGCACUAACAACUCCAUGGAUGACAUGCCAGCCGCACUGAAGCCUCUCUUGUUCAUCAUUUGGGCACCCUCAAAUAUCAAUGCAAUAGAUGGUAUUGUUGUAUUGGAAAAAUGUAUCAUGCGCCACAAAAUGGUCUUCCGGGCACACACUUUGGCCCUAUCAUGCAAGAGUAGUAAACAAGAACUUUGCCCACAAGCCAUUUACGUUGCUAAAAACCUUGUGACCCAUCAGAAGUGUGUUAGGAUAUAUACUUGGCGAAACAAAUACAAAUAUAUAAACAUUAAACAUUCCAGAAUAAGUUCCGCGAAAUUAAAGAUAAAGAACUAA